RNAcentral lists this ribosomal RNA (481 nucleotides) under uncultured bacterium. RNAcentral describes it as "partial 16S ribosomal RNA". It matches the Rfam family "Bacterial small subunit ribosomal RNA", at positions 28 to 507 of the family's 1533-position model. The record is from RNAcentral.
GAUGAACGCUGGCGGCGUGCUUAACACAUGCAAGUCGAACGAAACACCUUAUUUGAUUUUCUUCGGAACUGAAGAUUUGGUGAUUGAGUGGCGGACGGGUGAGUAACGCGUGGGUAACCUGCCCUGUACAGGGGGAUAACAGUCAGAAAUGACUGCUAAUACCGCAUAAGACCACAGCACCGCAUGGUGCAGGGGUAAAAACUCCGGUGGUACAGGAUGGACCCGCGUCUAAUUAGCUGGUUGGUGAGGUAACGGCUCACCAAGGCGACGAUCAGUAGCCGGCUUGAGAGAGUGGACGGCCACAUUGGGACUGAGACACAGCCCGAACUCCUACGGGAGGCAGCAGUGGGGAAUAUUGCACAAUGGGGGAAACCCUGAUGCAGCGACGCCGCGUGAGUGAAGAAGUAUUUCGGUAUGUAAAGCUCUAUCAGCAGGGAAGAUAAUGACGGUACCUGACUAAGAAGCCCCGGCUAACUACGUG